UACGUAGGGUGCGAGCGUUAAUCGGAAUUACUGGGCGUAAAGCGUGCGCAGGCGGUUCGCUGUGUCCUGUGUGAAAGCCCCGGGCUUAACCUGGGAAUGGCAUGGGAAACUGGCGAGCUUGAGUGCGGCAGAGGGGGGUGGAAUUCCGCGUGUAGCAGUGAAAUUCGUAGAUAUUCGCAAGAACACCAGUGGCGAAGGCGGCUCACUGGCCCGGUACUGACGCUGAGGUGCGAAAGCGUGGGGAGCAAACAGG
RNAcentral lists this ribosomal RNA (253 nucleotides) under uncultured bacterium. Its description in RNAcentral is "partial 16S ribosomal RNA". It matches the Rfam family "Bacterial small subunit ribosomal RNA", at positions 524 to 776 of the family's 1533-position model. The record is from RNAcentral.